UUGGCUCAGAAGCAGCCACCAUUUAAAGAGUGCGUAAUAGCUCACUGGUCGAGAGACGCUGCGCCGAAAAUGUCCGGGGCUCAAGCACGGAACCGAAGCUAUGGCAUGAUAGCAAUAUCAUGGGUAGGGGAGCGUUCUUAUAAGGAAGAAGCAUGACCGGAAGGACAUGUGGACAAAUAAGAAGUGAGAAUGCCGGUAUGAGUAUCGAAAAGAAAGGUGAGAAUCCUUUCCACCGAAAGCCCGAGGGUUCCUGAGCAACGAUCGUCGACUCAGGGUAAGUCGGGACCUAAGCCGAGGCGAGAAGCGUAGGCGAUGGACAACAGGUUGAAAUUCCUGUACCGGAUCAAGUCGAUCGAGCGAAGGAGCGACGCAGGAGGGCACAUGAUCGCGCGGCUGGAAGAGCGCGUCCAAGUGCGUAUGUUGCAGCAGAGGAAAACCCCUGCGGCUGAAAGCAGAGACAUGAUGGGGAGUUAAAGGAAACUUUGACGAACUCAUGAAUCCCACACUGCCAAGAAAAACUUCUAGCGAGACAAGAUCCGCCCGUACCGUAAACCGACACAGGUAGGCGGGGAGAGAAUCCUAAGGUGCGCGGGAAAACCCUCGUUAAGGAACUCGGCAAAUUGCAUCCGUAACUUCGGGAGAAGGAUGGCCCCCGGUCAGUGAAGAGCAGAAACGCUCAGAGCUAAAAGGGGCGGCAGAAAAGAGGCCCAAGCAACUGUUUACCAAAAACACAGGUGCCUGCGAAAGCGAAAGCUGAAGUAUAGGUGCUGACGCCUGCCCGGUGCCGGAAGGUUAAGGAGAGAGGUUAGCGAAAGCGAAGCUUUGAACUGAAGCCCCGGUGAACGGCGGCCGUAACUAUAACGGUCCUAAGGUAGCGAAAUUCCUUGUCGGGUAAGUUCCGACCCGCACGAAAGGCGUAACGAUUUGGGCACUGUCUCGACGAGGGGCCCGGUGAAAUUGAAAUACCUGUGAAGAUGCAGGUUACCCGCGACUGGACAGAAAGACCCCAUGGAGCUUCACUGCAGCUUGAGAUUGAAUCCCGGUGACAGAUGCACAGGAUAGGUGGGAGGCGUCGAAGCAUUGCCCUAGGGCGGUGCGGAGCCGAUGUUGGGAUACCACCCUUCUGUUGCUGAGAUUCUAACGCGAGGAGUAACGACCCUGCGGACCCUCUCAGGCAGGCGGUUUGACUGGGGCGGUCGCCUCCGAAAGAGUAACGGAGGCGCCCAAAGGUUCCCUCAGGCCGGACAGAAACCGGCCGAAGAGUGCAAAGGCAGAAGGGAGCUUGACUGCGAGACCAACAAGUCGAGCAGGGACGAAAGUCGGGCUUAGUGAUCCGGUGGUAC
RNAcentral lists this ribosomal RNA (1343 nucleotides) under human oral metagenome. Its description in RNAcentral is "bacterial LSU rRNA". It matches the Rfam family "Bacterial large subunit ribosomal RNA", at positions 1101 to 2429 of the family's 2925-position model. The record is from RNAcentral.